Molecule: microRNA precursor, 100 nt
Filed under: Leersia perrieri
Lineage: Eukaryota; Viridiplantae; Streptophyta; Magnoliopsida; Poales; Poaceae
Description: pre miRNA MIR167_1
Rfam family: MIR167 microRNA precursor family
Source: RNAcentral
CGCCACAAGCAGAUGAAGCUGCCAGCAUGAUCUGAAAGCAUAUACGUUUAGUUCUCAAAUAAGCAAAUCAGAUCAUCCGGCAGUUUCAUCUUCUCAUGGC